Molecule: ribosomal RNA, 492 nt
Filed under: uncultured bacterium
Lineage: Bacteria
Description: partial 16S ribosomal RNA
Rfam family: Bacterial small subunit ribosomal RNA
Source: RNAcentral
AGUGAACGCUGGCGGUAGGCCUAACACAUGCGAGUCGAACGGCAGCACAGUAAGAGCUUGCUCUUACGGGUGGCGAGUGGCGGACGGGUGAGGAAUACAUCGGAAUCUACUUUUUCGUGGGGGAUAACGUAGGGAAACUUACGCUAAUACCGCAUACGACCUACGGGUGAAGGCAGGGGAUCUUCGGACCUUGUGCGAUUGAAUGAGCCGAUGUCGGAUUAGCUAGUUGGCGGGGUAAAGGCCCACCAAGGCGGCGAUCCGUAGCUGGUCUGGGAGGCUGAUCGGCCACACUAGAACUGGGACACGGUCCAGACUCCUACGGGAGGGUGCAGUGGGGAAUGUUGGACAAUGGGCGCAAGCCUGAUCCAGCCAUACCGCGUGGGUGAAGGAGGCCUUCGGGUUGUGAAGCCCUUUUGUUGGGAAAGAAAAGCAGCAGGUUAAUACCCCGCUGUUCUGACGGUACCCAAAGAAUAAGCACCGGCUAACUUCGUG